This 1553-nucleotide long non-coding RNA is filed under the name Androctonus crassicauda. Lineage: Eukaryota; Metazoa; Arthropoda; Arachnida; Scorpiones; Buthidae. The record is from RNAcentral.
GUGUGCUCUUCCGAUCUAAUUAAUCCGACUGAUGCAAUGAAGAAGUUACAGAUACCUUAAAAGGGAUAUAUUCGUCGUUGUUUCUUGUAGGAUAACAGGAGGAAAAACGACAUUGUCGAUAUAACAUUGAUGUAGCCAUGUAACACCUGACAAUGAGUAGAAGAAACCAUCAAAAGUGAAUUAAAAACACAUAACUUCUGACCUACUAACAGGGUACGGUUGCUGUUAAAAAUUCGAUCAAGAAGUAGUAGGCGGUUGGGUUAAGAGUUUUUUACGGAUCCCGUGCACACUCUGUUUCUUUGCUUAAUUGGAUUUUUACCUUUACUUUAGUGACAAGGUUGUUUAAGUGACCAAAUUUUACGAUCCAAUAGUAACUUGUCAGCCUCCGACUUUCAUCCAUUCCAUCCGUUCCACUUCCUCAUCUUCACCGAAAAGCAUACAGAAAAGGAGGUUUUUUGUUAGAACCGGUUUCUUUUUUAAGUCCUUGGACGUCAACGGAUGAUGGAGAAACAAUAAAGGCUAAAAGGUGAACAGUAAUUCAUGCCACGGUUAUGUUAGACCAAUCGUGAUUUGAAUCUGAGCGUGUGAAAAUAAAGUAGAAACUCAUCGAUGAUACUUCUAACAUUAUCACGAGUUCUACAACACUAGAGGCCCCGAAGCCCGUACCACAAGCACCACACCCACAGCAGCAGGUAGGCCUCAACAAUUAGAAAUUUGUUUUUCAUUGUCCACCCUUUAUGUUAUCUAGAUCCAUAAAAAAAAAAAGAAAAACAAGUUUUAAAUUUUAUAAUAAUAAAAAAUGUAAAUAGAAGUUUUAAAACUUUUGUAUAUAAAGGCAUUUAAUUUGCAAUGAACACGGAUACUGUAUAACUGAAAAGUGAUAAUUGAGAUUGAUGUUAGCUGAAAUAACAACAUUAGGGUCCUUCAACAACUUCAAACACAAUCAAACUGGUCAAACAAUCAUUUUACAGCUCUGCAGCUACGAAAGCAGAUCAAUACAAAGUCGAAUCGACAAAGAAAUCAUAUUUGGAGGAAAUGGCCAGAGCAGAUUUGACAGUUUUUCAACCGGCAUUCUUGUUACUGUCUUCACUAGGAAGUUGAUAAAAGAAGGCGGAUUCUGGUAAUGAGAAGAAGCUACGGACAGUCGAGUGAUUGAACGAUUGUCUCCGGGGAUGUCCAGUAAUCGGUGCCUCAUUAAACCCAGAGGAAAGCUCACUAAAGUGAAGACAGUAGGAUGAAGUUGUCCGAGAUUCCACUACUACCAUUUAACACUCUCUGCCUUCCUUUCAAAGUCACAUUCUAAUUCUGAUACCUUAAAGAUAAUCCCGUGUGGUAGAUGUACUGAUCCUCUUAACGUGACAGGGUUAUAUGUCAGUUAGACAUCAAGACAUGCUCACUAACCGUUUGAUAAUAGCUUUCGAUCGUUAAGGUGCGAUUGUGGCUGAGUACUGCAGAGAAGCUGCUUCUCAUUUGCCCUUUUCUCUCUCUCUCUCUCUUUUUUUUUUAUCUUAAAUUCGAUUUACUAAAACUACUAAUACUGCAAUUAAUUGGAC